Molecule: RNA transcript, 4618 nt
Organism: Nerophis ophidion (straightnose pipefish)
Lineage: Eukaryota; Metazoa; Chordata; Actinopteri; Syngnathiformes; Syngnathidae
Gene: gaa
Gene name: alpha glucosidase
Exons: 21
Source: RefSeq, a predicted model, not a curated record
CCCGCUUGCUGUAGCUGCCAUGUUUGUGGCCGCCAUGUUUAAAGAGACACAAACACACACAAUAUUUUAACUCUGCAUGAUGGCGACUUAAACUAACUUCUCUUCUUGGUGUCAUGGCGCACUAAGAGACAGCACAACAACAUGGAAGACUUAACAACACUCAAGUCUUCGUCUUCUUGCUUUUUUUUCUCUUCCUCAACUUGGUCUUAGCGAGCUCAUGGCUGUAAGUAGCAAGCUAACUGGAGCUGUGCUUCUCACUCUAGUGGCGGCUGCACUUUUGCACUUUUUUACCCGCAAACUUCAGCAAACUUCACCGGAGACACAACCCCGCCAGUGUGUCAUGUCCCCACCGGAGACACAACCCCGCCAGUGUGUCAUGUCCCCGGACAGACGCUUCGACUGUGGCCGGGACAGAGUCCUCAGUCGCGGGGCCUGCGAGCAAAGAGCUUGUUGUUACUCUCCACUCACUAACUCUUCCAGAGCUCCAUGGUGCUUCUACCCUCAUGGAUACCCGGGAUACACCAUGGCUGGCCUCACCCCCACCCACCGGGGGCAGGCUGCCACCCUGACCCGGGACAAGCCCUCAUACCUGCCCGGAGAUGUCCCCACUCUUCACCUGCAGGAGACCCGGGAGUCUGCAGGCUGCCUGCGCCUCACUCUGAAGGAUCCUUGGGCACGCAGAUAUGAAGUUGACCUUCCUUCUGGGGUCCCUCAGGGCAAGGCCGCUGCCCAGGAUGCCUUGUAUGCCGUUAAGUACCAGACCGAGCCAUUUGGCUUCGUCGUGACUCGCAAAUCCAAUGGAAGGGUGCUCAUGAAUACCACAGUGGCGCCUUUGCUGUUUUCUGACCAGUACCUGCAGCUGUCCACCUCCUUGGCCUCCUCUCUUGUGUCAGGCCUUGGAGAGCACUACACCUCCCUCAUCUUGGACCUAAACUGGACCUCCCUGACCCUCUGGAACCGAGACAUGGCCCCUCAUGCCCAUGCAAACCUCUAUGGCUCUCAUCCCUUCUACAUGGUCCAGGAGGAGGAUGGACUGGCACACGGGGUGUUCCUUCUCAACAGCAAUGCCAUUGAGGUGAUCCUGCAGCCUCUUCCAGCUCUGACUUGGGUCUCUACAGGUGGAAUCCUGGAUCUGUACAUCUUCAUGGGUCCCGAUCCUCAGACUGUUCUACGACAAUACCUGCAAGUCAUUGGGUAUCCCAUGAUGCCUCCUUAUUGGUCAUUGGGCUUCCACCUGUGUCGCUGGGGAUACACGAGCACUAACGUGACACGGCGGGUGGUACAGAGGAUGCAUGAUGCUAACUUACCCAUGGAUGUGCAGUGGAACGACCUUGACUAUGCAGCUAAAAGCCGGGUAUUCACCUUUGACCCUGUGCGCUUCAAGGACAUUAAAGACAUGGCGGAGGAGUUUCACCAAAAAGGACUGAAGUACAUCCUCAUCCUGGACCCAGGGAUCAGCACCACGAGUCCUCCAGGAACUUACCAACCCUUUGACGACGGACUGAAACGAGACGUGUUUAUAAAAAACGCUACAGGUCACCUUCUGAUCGGGAAGGUUUGGCCUGGUCCCACGGCAUUCCCGGACUUCACCAACCCGGAGACACGACACUGGUGGGAAGACUGUAUUAGGACUUUUUAUGCCCAGGUGCCCGUGGAUGGAUUGUGGAUUGAUAUGAACGAACCCUCCAGUUUUGUUUCGGGCUCAUUGGAAGGUUGUCCUGACACAGAUGUUGAGAACCCACCUUACACACCAAGGGUCAUCGGAGGUCGCUUAAACUCAGGGACUCUUUGUAUGUCGGCUCAGCAAAAGUUGUCCACUCACUACAAUCUGCACAAUAUGUACGGACUGACUGAAGCCUUCGCCACUUAUAGUGCUCUUGUCAAAGUACGACGGAAGAGGCCAUUUGUCCUGUCUCGCUCCUCCUUCCCGAGCAUCGGACGCUUCUCCGGAGUGUGGACUGGAGACGUCAGGAGCGACUGGGAGCAGCUUCGAUACUCCAUCCCUUCUGUGCUGGGGUUCAGUUUAUUGGGGGCCCCUCUGGUGGGUGCAGACAUCUGUGGCUUCCAAGGCAACACCACGGAGGAGUUGUGCACACGAUGGAUGCAGCUUGGAGCCUUCUACCCAUUCAUGAGGAACCACAAUGACAGGCAAUAUGCUUCUCAGGAGCCGUAUGUGUUUGGACAGAAGGCCCAGGCAGCCAUGCGAAUUGCAUUAAACCUUCGUUACUCCCUCCUUCCGUUUCUCUACACACUCUUCCAUCAUGCACACACCUCUGGAGACGCAGUGGCCAGGCCUCUUUUCAUGGAGUUUCCCGCUGACCCCAACAGUCAGAUUAUUGACCGACAGUUCCUGUGGGGGAGUUCCCUGCUCAUCAGCCCAGUCUUAGAGGAAGGUGCUGUGGAGGUGCUAGCUUACCUGCCCCCCUGCACUUGGUACAGUCUUCACAACGGUCAGCCUUUUUAUAGCGAAGGUCAGUUCCUGGUUCUGUCAGCUCCUUUAGACACGAUCAACAUCCACGUGAGGGAAGGACACAUUAUCCCCCAGCAGGAGCCAGCUUUAACGACGACAACCUCACGCAAAAACCCCUUUCUCCUGACGGUGGCGCUCUCUGCAGAAGGAUCGGCCUGUGGUGACUUGUUCUGGGAUGACGGGGAUAGCCUGGACACCUUUGAAGGGGGAAGUUACAGUCAUGUCAAGUUCACUGCUGCUCAGUCCCAGGUGCUGAGUAACCCUACUGACAUGAAUGGAACCCUGGAUGGUCUUAUGCUGGGGGCGAUGCGGGUGUUUGGGGUACCCGGGCGGCCGCAAUACGUCGUAGCCAACGGGGAGAAAGUCAGGGACUUUGUGUACAACACUGACUCAAAGGUUUUGAAAGUGAGCCACCUGACUCUGCCCAUGUCAAAGAUGAUUACAGUCCAGUGGGCUCCGUGACGAAGUGACAUCUAUUACCCAUGAUGCCCUGGGAGGGCUUCUUUUUCAAGGACUGCCACCAACCCAAAGGCUCGGGAUCUUUCUGUGUGGAGUUUGCAUGUUCUCCCCGUGACUGCGUGGGUUCCCUCCGGGUACUCCGGCUUCCUCCCACCUCCAAAGACAUGCACCUGGGGAUAGGUUGAUUGGCAACACUAAAUGGGCCCUAGUGUGUGAAUGUUGUCUGUCUAUCUGUGUUGGCCCUGUGAUGAGGUGACGACUUGUCCAGGGUGUACCCUGCCUUCCGCCCGAUUGUAGCUGAGAUAGGCGCCAGCGCCCCCCGCGACCCCAAAAGGGAAUAAGCGGUAGAAAAUUGUUGGAUGGAUGGAUGAUUUCAAUUGUCAGGAAAGAAGAGGAAGGAAUUUAAAAGCAAGAGGACAUACGUUAAUCGUGUACAGGUGCGCCAUCCACACACCUGACCUUUUUUGUGGCGUCGCUCCCGGCACGCCCCGCCUCGCCGCUCGCUCGCCAUCCCCGCCUCCUCGCCGCCAUCUUGGCUCUGUCGGACCGUCAGCUCCGCCUCUUCACAGCUGGUAUUUGAGCUAUUUUUAGAACAGGCCAGCGGGCGACCUGGUGAUUUUUUUAGAGUAUGUUUGAUCAAAAAAAUAUUUGCAGUAUUGUAAGUAUUUUGCUUUAGAUUGCCAUAAAAAGGGAUAAACUUCUUAGCUACUCAACAGUCGUGUGAAGCUUCAUAGAUUACUAUUGUCUUAAAAUUAAAAUAAACUCAUCUUCUCUUCUGUUGCCAAAAACAUUUUGGACACUUUUUUGUGGGCCCUUGUUUGUCACCGAAUUGUUGGGUGUGAGUGACAGUAAGAAAAGCUCAGAGGACAGUAAUUUGGGGACACAGUGUUCGACACCACCUGUUUAUUUGCAUGUGUAAAUCUCUAGACUGUUAAUAUGAGCCUUCUGUCUUUUUCAUAUAUUUUUCUGUUGUCUUUUUCUUUUAAUUUCCCUAAACAAUAUUUAUUAUGGUGUAUUUAAUAAUGUGGUUAAUAGUAAUAAUAAAUUACUUAAAAUAUAUGUUUUAUUUUUAAGUACAUACUGACAAAAUGAUUGUAACAUUCUGCACAAAAAAGCACAUUUAAAAUGUCAACACCUGGAUUCAAGAACAGCUUCGUGGCUUAAAUAGUUACCAGAUUUUUCUACAAGUCAUAAACACAUGGACGGACAAAAUUUUGUAUUUUUGAUAUGGAAUGAUACAUUUAUAGACGUUAAUGUAAAACAUAUUUAGUGGCCAAUUUAAUGUAAAACCGACUGAUUAAAAUGAAUGAUGCCUCAUUGCGGAAGCGGUGAUUUUGGGUUGAUUGAUCAGGGCUGUCCAGAAAGUCAAGCUAGAAAGUGGAAAAAUCGGUUUUUCACGGCUAAAUCUUACCAAGUGACUGUUGUGUGCGUGAGUGACAGGAUGAAAAGCUCAGAGUACCGUAAUGUGGGCAUUUUAAAUGUCAUUUUUUUCCUGCAGAAUGUUACAAUCGUCAUACAUUUUGUCAGCAUGUACUUAUAAAUAAAACAUACUUUAAGUGCUUUAUUAUUACUAGUAAGUGCAUUAUUAAAUAUGCCAUAAUAAGUAUCGGUUAGGGAAAUUAAUCACUGUAUUAAGUCAAAUGUAUUACAGAAAGUGGAAAAAAGAAAUAAAACAUUGGUUUUGCACGG